UACGUAGGGUGCAAGCGUUGUCCGGAAUUAUUGGGCGUAAAGAGCUCGUAGGCGGUUUGUCGCGUCGAAUGUGAAAACCCGGGGCUCAACCCCGGGCCUGCAUUCGAUACGGGCAGACUAGAGUUCGGUAGGGGAGUCUGGAAUUCCUGGUGUAGCGGUGAAAUGCGCAGAUAUCAGGAGGGACACCGGUGGCGAAGGCGGGACUCUGGGCCGAUACUGACGCUGAGGAGCGAAAGCGUGGGGAGCGAACAGG
This 253-nucleotide ribosomal RNA is filed under the name uncultured bacterium. Its description in RNAcentral is "partial 16S ribosomal RNA". It matches the Rfam family "Bacterial small subunit ribosomal RNA", at positions 524 to 776 of the family's 1533-position model. The record is from RNAcentral.